RNA transcript from Fragaria vesca subsp. vesca, 1747 nucleotides. It is a transcript of the gene named cation/calcium exchanger 2-like, with no coding region annotated. The transcript is spliced from 2 exons. The record is from RefSeq and is a predicted model, not a curated record. NCBI's taxonomy places the organism in Eukaryota, Viridiplantae, Streptophyta, Magnoliopsida, Rosales, Rosaceae.
AUGAAAACCUUUGUUUCCAUACCUCUGUACAGAAACUACAUCAUUUUCUUGAACCUCUCUUUUCUCUUAGUGGCUUCUACUCUCUUGGUUAUAUACAAUUCUUCCCACUCUCCACACAUUCUAGUUCAAAGCAUUCACAGCAACAAUGAACAAGGCUGCCAGGGGUUUCUUGGCAUGGGUAAUUAUGAAGACAAGUGUCAGUACCUCAAGUCCAAAAACCCAUGUGUCUCCCGAGGCUAUAUUGAUUAUCUUUACAUCUUCUAUUGCAGUUUCGGCACUUGCCCCCUUGUGGGUUAUGGCUUUCUGUUGUUUUGUCUUCUGGUUUUGUUCUAUCUAUUGGGUAAUACAGCUUCAGAGUACUUCUGUGCUUCACUUGAGAGUCUAUCAAGGCUCUUAAAACUGUCCCCUACCAUUGCUGGGGUUACUCUUCUCUCCCUUGGUAAUGGAGCCCCUGAUGUCUUCUCCAGCUUAAAGGUGGGACCAACAUUGAUGUUGGUCUCAACACAAUUCUGGGAGGUGCCUCCUUUGUGUCAUCUAACCUCCGUGGAAUCAUAAGUAUUUCAAUUCGCAAGAGGCUUGUCCGAGUUAAGAAAUCUGACUUCGUUAGAGAUGCCUGCUUCUACCUUUUGGUUGUCGUAUGCUUGAUUCUGGUCCUGAUUCAGAAAGAAAUAGAUGUGUGGGCUUCCAUCGCUUUCUCUACACUGUAUGUUGUUUAUGUGAUUGUGGUUUAUGUAUCACAUACUCAAUCUGGUAAACCAAGUGAAUCUUUAAGCAACCCUAGUCAUGACUUGACUGUACCAAUCCUGAGUAGCAUGGAGAGGGAUGAAAGUGAAGAGCUUGGUGCUGCAGAGGACGGAGCUUUAACUUGUGCCGUAGAAGAAGUAAAGAAAAGCUGCUAUCAACUCCCCCGGCCAUCAGAUUCUUGUCGAAUGUUGAUCUUCGUACUUGAGUUACCUCUGUAUGUUCCCAGGAGAUUGACGAUUCCCGUUGUUUGUGAAGAGAGAUGGUCUAAGCCUUAUGAUGUUGCGUCUGUGACACUAGCGCCUGUGCUAUUGUCAUCCCUUUGGAACCAUCAGUAUGCAAACGCUAGCUUUCAGAAAAGCCUCUUGAUCUAUGUGAUUGGAUUGAUUAUUGGACUAGUUUUGGGACUUGUUGCAUGUAUGACAACAGAGAAGUCAAGCCCACCAAAGAAAUGCUUACUUCCUUGGCUUGCUGCUGGCUUCUUGAUGAGUGUUACUUGGAGUUACAUUACAGCUCAGGAACUGGUGGCGUUGUUAGUCUCAACAGGGUAUAUAUUAGGUAUUAGUCCUUCGAUAUUAGGACUGACAGUCCUUGCUUGGGGUAAUUCACUUGGGGAUUUGAUAACCAAUUUGACCAUGGCGUUGAAUGGAGGACCAGAAGGAGCACAGACUGCCUUUUCUGCCUGUUAUGCUGGUCCUAUCUUCAACACUCUGUUUGGAUUGGGGCUGUCACUUGUUGGCUCUUCUUGGUCUAAAUACCCUUCUGCUGUUGUCAUUCAUGGAGAUCCAUACCUCAUGGAGACACUGGGUUUGUUAGGAGGAGGCUUGCUUUGGGCACUUGUGGUGUUGCCAAGGAGAGAUAUGACCCUUGAUGGGGUUUUGGGGGUCGGUCUUUUAGUUAUAUACAUCAUUUCUAUGUCUUUGAGGUUAAUUCAAACACUCGGGUCUCUGCAACUACAAACAGAGUUAUAGCAUUACUGAAUCCUAACAAGGCAAGUAGUAUAUAC